This 239-nucleotide unclassified non-coding RNA is filed under the name Glomeraceae sp. RNAcentral's name for it is "partial contains 5.8S ribosomal RNA and internal transcribed spacer 2". The stretch from base 1 to 71 matches the Rfam family "5.8S ribosomal RNA", at positions 84 to 154 of the family's 154-position model. Lineage: Eukaryota; Fungi; Glomeromycota; Glomeromycetes; Glomerales; Glomeraceae. The record is from RNAcentral.
GUGAAUCAUCAAAUUUUUGAACGCAAAUUGCGCUUCCUGGUAUCCCGGGAAGUAUGCCUGUUUGAGGGUCAGUAUUAACAAAAAAUCGGUUUGGUUGCAAAUUGUGACGUUUCCGGAGUUUGGGCUAUCUUAACUUUUUUGGUUAAGUGGCUUAAAAUUGACCUUUUUUGCGCAUUUUUAGACGUACAUAAAUUUUUUUUUUUUUGGUUAUUUUUUAUUCCCAAAUCUUUUUUGGUUGG